RNAcentral lists this non-coding RNA (89 nucleotides) under Hydrogenophaga sp. H7. RNAcentral describes it as "SAH (S-adenosyl-L-homocysteine) riboswitch aptamer". It matches the Rfam family "SAH (S-adenosyl-L-homocysteine) riboswitch aptamer". RNAcentral also lists the same sequence under 1 other name. The record is from Rfam by way of RNAcentral. Lineage: Bacteria; Pseudomonadati; Pseudomonadota; Betaproteobacteria; Burkholderiales; Comamonadaceae.
CCAUCCGAGGAGCGUUGCAGCGCACCCCCGACCCCCCGGUCGGCGCGGUUCGUGAGGCUCGGACAUCCAUGCAACGACGCUCAUCCACU